Molecule: unclassified non-coding RNA, 315 nt
Filed under: Hevea brasiliensis (rubber tree)
Lineage: Eukaryota; Viridiplantae; Streptophyta; Magnoliopsida; Malpighiales; Euphorbiaceae
Source: RNAcentral
UGAAGUCUUUACAAGCAGUGGUAGCUCAUGGAUUGCUGUUUUGUUUCACUCUGCUUCUUGUUCUCAAGCUUGAUCGAGCCAUUCAUAAUUCUUGGUGGGUUGUUUUCGUUCCACUUUGGUUGUUUCAUGUGGUUGUAGCAAGGGGUAGAUUCUCAUUACCUGCUCCAUCAAUGCCUCAUGAUCGACAUUGGGCACCAUUUCAUGCUGUCAUGGCGACACCGCUGCUUGUUGCUUUUGAACUACUUCUUUGUAUCCAUCUCGACAGCGCCUAUGCUGUAAGUUUGAAGAUUGUGUUCUUUCCCCUGCUUGCACUUG